RNAcentral lists this ribosomal RNA (374 nucleotides) under uncultured bacterium. RNAcentral's name for it is "bacterial SSU rRNA". It matches the Rfam family "Bacterial small subunit ribosomal RNA", at positions 28 to 417 of the family's 1533-position model. The record is from RNAcentral.
GACGAACGCUGGCGGCGUGCUUAACACAUGCAAGUCGAGCGAACCUUCGGGUUAGCGGCGAACGGGUGAGUAACACGUGGGCAACCUGCCCCGAGCUCUGGGAUAACCCCGGGAAACCGGGGCUAAUACCGGAUAUGACCCGAGAAGACAUCUUCUCGGGUGGAAAGUUUUUCGGCUCGGGAUGGGCCCGCGGCCUAUCAGCUUGUUGGUGGGGUAACGGCCUACCAAGGCGACGACGGGUAGCCGGCCUGAGAGGGCGACCGGCCACACUGGGACUGAGACACGGCCCAGACUCCUACGGGAGGCAGCAGUGGGGAAUAUUGCGCAAUGGGCGAAAGCCUGACGCAGCGACGCCGCGUGAGGGAAGACGGCCU